GGGCGCUUAGCUCAGCUGGGAGAGCACCGCCCUUACAAGGCGGGGGUCGCAGGUUCAAGCCCUGCAGCGCCCA
Molecule: transfer RNA, 73 nt
Filed under: Gammaproteobacteria bacterium
Lineage: Bacteria; Pseudomonadati; Pseudomonadota; Gammaproteobacteria
Also listed under: 1 other name
Description: tRNA-Val
Rfam family: tRNA
About the family: Transfer RNA (tRNA) molecules are approximately 80 nucleotides in length. Their secondary structure includes four short double-helical elements and three loops (D, anti-codon, and T loops).
Source: RNAcentral